ACUUCCCUUUCCCAUACUUCUCCCUUCCCCGUAACUUCUUGAAACAAUGAAACAAGGAAACCAAAAAUAACUCUUCAAAUUCUCUCUCCUUCCCAUGGUGAUUUGACUGAUUUCAAAAAAUUAGUCAAUUACAACCUUCAUCAACUACUCAACGGUUCAAUCUUCGACCUACAUUCCUUUUCUCGUUCCUUUGAGGCUUUGAAUCUCACUUUCUCUCUCUUCCGUUCAAUGCUCUCUACCAGGGUUUUGAAAUCGAAUUCUUCCCAGAAAAUUUGUCGAAGUUCGAUGGCAAGGCGGUGUAUUUCGAUGGAUUGGAACUCCGAGUAGAAACGAACAAGGUGGAAUUUGGUCAAUUAAGUAGGGUUUGUUGAAGAUUUGGGUUUAAUUUUAUUGAUUUGAUUGUUGUUCAUGUAUGUGGAAUUUGGUCAAUUAGGUAGGGUUUGUUGAAGAUUUGGGUUUAAUUUUAUUGAUUUGAUUGUUGUUCAUGUAUGUGGAAUUUGUUCAUUUUAAUUGAAAAUUGAAGCGUGUAGUAUGUAAAUUUUGAAUUAAUAUUGUUCAUCUUUAUUUUCCUA
This is a long non-coding RNA of Spinacia oleracea (spinach), 572 nucleotides long. RefSeq lists it as uncharacterized. The record is from RefSeq and is a predicted model, not a curated record. The transcript has 2 exons. NCBI's taxonomy places the organism in Eukaryota, Viridiplantae, Streptophyta, Magnoliopsida, Caryophyllales, Amaranthaceae.